UUUUGAAUAAAAGCUUAGUUGAGUAUUCCCAAUUUUUCAUUUGUAAUCAUUUAUCAUGUAGACCAAUUGUCAAGCAUGAGAUUGUACCCUCUUGCAGCACGUGUCGCAGUAGCCAUCCUUCGUUCUUGCCAUGGGAAUGAACUGAAACAAUCUGUUAGGUGCUGAUGAGAAAAUGGAGAAAGAUCUUGUGCAGAUUGCAGUUGGAGAUUCAGUGGAAACUGAGGAUGGUGGACAGUCAAUUAUUCAAGAUAGGCCUCCUUAUAAAGCUGAAGCUUUAAUUUCCAAUAUUAUGAUGAAUGAAUUUUAACUCAAUAGGACUAGAGCAUCAUCAAGCUAUGAAAGCAUUUGUAUCUUAUAGUUUUGUUUUAAGGGAUCAAAUUAAUUCAUGGGAAUGUGAUUUAGAAAUUAUGUUAUUUUCCCUUCUGUGAGGAGGCAACCCUUCACUCAAAGUUACAGGCUAUUUUGCCAAGUUUUACAGAAACUUGUCUCACACUUCUAGGUAUUCUCUACCUACCCAUUUACAUCAGUUUCGGGCACGUACCCUUUUUUUGAAAGAUAUAUAUAAUUUUUUCAAUAUGCUUGCUCGAGAAUUUUUGUUCAAUUGAAAGUUUUUUAAGACCAAUCUCAAGUUCGAAUAUUUAUUGAGGCUUUAAAAAAAAUUGGAAUAGAAUCCUAACCGAAACCUGUAAUGGAGGACAAAACUGGGAUCAUCUUUGGGCAGCAAUGGGUUGUAGAUAAUCUAAUUUGGCAUUGCUCAGUAAAUUAAAAGCUAUUAAUCCAAAAAUGAUGUGUAGUUGUUGCAGCAAAACGUUGAGAGAAAACACAAGAUUUUAAAAAGAAAGCAAAAUCUUUGACUGACUAUUUGCAUCUCGCAAGGAAAAAUGACAGAAUAUAUGCCUGCGUGAUCCCUCUCCAAAUGCUCGAGUGCAAAUUAUAUAUGAAAUACAGUCAUCUAAGAACAUUAACCUGUAAAAUGAUACCUAACGUGUAAAAUGAUACCUAAUGCCACGGAUUCCUCUUAGUAGUUGCACUUCUUUUUGUUCUAGUUGUUGAGCUUGUUUUCGAUCUUGGUUUUUUGGUCUUCCCUCGGAUCCUGUUCCUAGGAGGUUUCAAUUUGUAAAUGCGGACCAUCCAAUGGUGAGUU
This 1144-nucleotide unclassified non-coding RNA is filed under the name Hevea brasiliensis (rubber tree). Lineage: Eukaryota; Viridiplantae; Streptophyta; Magnoliopsida; Malpighiales; Euphorbiaceae. The record is from RNAcentral.